RNAcentral lists this ribosomal RNA (119 nucleotides) under Triticum aestivum (bread wheat). The record is from RNAcentral. Lineage: Eukaryota; Viridiplantae; Streptophyta; Magnoliopsida; Poales; Poaceae.
GGAUGCGAUCAUACCAGAAUUAAAGCACCGGAUCCCAUCAGAACUCCGAAGUUAAGCGUGCUUGGGCGAGAGUAGUACUAGGAUGGGUGACCUCCUGGGAAGUCCUCGUGUUGCAUUCC